UACAGAGGGUGCAAGCGUUAAUCGGAAUUACUGGGCGUAAAGCGCACGCAGGCGGUUGGUUAAGUCAGAUGUGAAAUCCCCGGGCUCAACCUGGGAAUUGCAUUUGAAACUGGCCAACUAGAGUACGUGAGAGGGGGGUAGAAUUCCAAGUGUAGCGGUGAAAUGCGUAGAGAUUUGGAGGAAUACCAGUGGCGAAGGCGGCCCCCUGGCACGAUACUGACGCUCAGGUGCGAAAGCGUGGGGAGCAAACAGG
Molecule: ribosomal RNA, 253 nt
Filed under: uncultured bacterium
Lineage: Bacteria
Description: partial 16S ribosomal RNA
Rfam family: Bacterial small subunit ribosomal RNA
Source: RNAcentral